This 703-nucleotide long non-coding RNA is filed under the name Coturnix japonica (Japanese quail). Its description in RNAcentral is "lncRNA (ENSCJPG00005005952.1)". Lineage: Eukaryota; Metazoa; Chordata; Aves; Galliformes; Phasianidae. The record is from RNAcentral.
AUGUACAUCCAGUCUGAACUCAAGGUGGUGUUACUGCCAAGCACGCGUCUCUUUCAGCAGGUCCCAGGUCUGUUUAUACCAGAGCACUGUUCCAGCUCAGUGAACCUAAGCACAACCUUCUGUUUCUCUGUGACAUCGUCAGUGACAGAAGGAGCAACUUCUAAGAAUGCAAGAAGGAUUUACCACUGCUGUGCAGGUGCAAGCUCCGCUCUGCUUCCAAACAAAAUAUUUCCUAAAACAACAUUCAGGAAAAGCGAUCUCAGAGAAGCAGCAAGAGAAGAAAUCUAUGAGCUCAAUGGUUUCAAAUUUGACUUAGAACUACUUCAGGAAUGACUGACAGCAGUAAGUCACCUAUUACAAAGCCUGAUACAACAACUCAGAAAUUCAUCAAAAUGCAAAAUGCCCAGCAGAAAAACAAAUCCAAAAAAAAGAGGUUCCAAAUAGCAACUGAGAGGAGCCCCAGAUGGCUGAUGUUGGCAGGGAAAUGCAAAAGGUAUAUGUACUGUGGAAUUAAAGGAUAAGCACGCUGGCAGCAUCACAUGACCUGUGUUUUAAAGGUCUAAAGACUACCUGUCAUUCCAACUAGAAACUUCUCAUUUAUUGAUUAGAAGAGUUAACUGAUUUUCUUUAAGGGAAUGAUUCACGUUUUUGUUUUGCUGGGCACCAACCGGAAAAUCCUUCUUCUCUCCCAUGUGGAUAGCGG